This is a non-coding RNA of Plectropomus leopardus (leopard coralgrouper), 601 nucleotides long. NCBI's taxonomy places the organism in Eukaryota, Metazoa, Chordata, Actinopteri, Perciformes, Serranidae. The record is from RefSeq and is a predicted model, not a curated record.
UGCUGAAACGUUUGAGACGUGUAAGAGCAGACAGUUGACUUCUUGGUUAACUUCAACAGACCGUGAGACGAUGGCUGGAAUGGUUGGAUAGGGUGAGACAAAAGACGCUAAUAAGGGAACGCAGGAUCUUUGUAACAAGGUGAAGAGCCAAGUGAUGGAACAAACAGGCCAUACUUUCCACAAUACAAAGCAGUGAAAUACAGGUGACUUAGGGUAUUGCUGGAGCAGAAAACAUCCUCUAAAGGUAAAUAAUAUUGUGAUAUUUGAAAAAAAACUUUGACUGCCACAGGUGUGUGUUUGACAUUCAUCUGCAUGUCAUUAAAAUUCUGCCUCCCAACGCGUCGCCAACACUGAGAGGUAUGCAGCAGAACAGAACCAAAGACGACGCCCUCGAACCUUUUCCUAAACCUCCAGCCACAGCAGUGAAAGUCUCAUAGGCUCAAAUAUCUCAUAAUAAAAUGCUCUGCUUGUUCAUUCUGAAAUGAUUUGACUUUGACUUUGAAUGCAUUAAGACUCAGAGAUAAAAGACAUUUGGUGUUGGGAAGCAGCAAAUUGAAUUCAUUACCUUGUAAAGACAUAAUAAACUCGAGAUCAUUAAAAA